UCGACCUAGUAUAAGAGACACACCAACGUACGUACACUCAUAUGUGUUAGAGGCACUUUCAGUUUGGCAUUCAUUCAGUUCACAAAGAGAUCCAUUUAAAGACUUUACAACGUACGUACACUCAUAUGUGUUAGAGGCACUUUCAGUUUGGCCUUCAUUCAGUUCACAAAGAGAUCCAUUUAAAGACUUUACAGAAGAAAAAUGACAGGAUGAAAACUGUGCCUCGAGGAGAUUAAACUGGAAGCAGAAGGUAUCAACCCAGGCCAUGGAGCUGAAUGGAGAAGAAAUGCCUUCCAUCCCUUCCAACCAUUUGGCUUCUCCAGUCCCUCACCUCAAGCAAACCUCAUCAAGGUUUUCCGAUUUCCAGACCCAGGUCCUGAGCAACUAUGUAAAUGCAAACAAACACUGGUGAUGACUGUAAGGUAUGGUGAUCACCCCUCUUCCACCCAAUUAACAACCUUCAGGAGAAAAAAAUAGAGGAAGGAGAGGAGUGUUUGCUGGUUGCAGCUCUCUAGGAAUAGCCAAGGAGUUGGCAAAGGAAGCUCACUCUCCCUGCUGCUUCUGCCUCUGAAGUGAGUGAUCCAUACUUUGGUAAAUGAGAUGAUUCAUUUGUAUGCAGAAAGAAAAUAUUAAGACUCUUGCUUAUAUUUAGUUUUUAUAGAAUAACUAAGAAAGUAAUUAGGCCUCGCAAUUAUUUAACACAUAGUGUGUAGAGACUGCUAUUUGCCUACUGCAAUAUCCAUUCUUUAUGUCUUAGUCCUUCUUGGCUAUUAAAACAAACAUGCCAUAGACUAAGUAGUUUAAAAACAACAGAAAUGUAUUUCUCACUGUUAUGAAGGCCAAGAAGUCCAAGUUCAAGGUACCAACAUAUUUGGCGUUUGGUAAGGGCCCAAUUCCUGGUUUACAGAAAUCCUGAGAUUAGGUUAGUGUAAAAAGAAUUGCAGUUUUUGCCAUUUUUAAAAGUAAUGGCAAAACUGCAAUUAUUUUUGCACCGACCAAUAUAGCCUCACAUGGAGGAAAGGGAAAGAAAACUCCCUGGGGCCUUUUUUAUGAGGGCACUAAUCUCAUUUGUGAAGGCUCCACCCUCAUGACCUAAUCAUCUCCUAAAGGCCCCAUGUCCAAAUAUCACCAUGGGUGUUAGGAUUUAACACCCUAUGAAAUUGGUGGAAAAGAAGCAUUCAGUCUGUAGCACUCUUCUCACUUAGUAACAGAACCCUGACUGUUAGCUCAAUAUGUUGUCACUUAGAACGAAAAGUUAUUAUUUCCUGGACCUAUUUCUAGCUAAGUUUUGGCCCCUAUAUGCAAUCAGAAAUAAUGUAAGUGCCAUAUAGAAAACUUCCUCAAAGGGAAGCAUGGCCUU
RNAcentral lists this long non-coding RNA (1360 nucleotides) under Homo sapiens (human). RNAcentral's name for it is "HSALNT0322611". The record is from RNAcentral. Lineage: Eukaryota; Metazoa; Chordata; Mammalia; Primates; Hominidae.